GGGCCCGUAGCUCAGCCUGGCAUGGUGUUUGGCUAAGCGCGAACACCCUGGGCAAUUAGAGCGUCCGGCUCUUAACCGGAAGGUCGGGGGUUCGAACAGCCCAAGUACGCUGGGCGAACGUGUUUCAAGUGGGGUUUCACUUUGUUCAACCCUACGAUAAACGCAAACCAGCGGGGCACGAAUGUCCCUCCGGGCUCG
Molecule: transfer RNA, 198 nt
Filed under: Nanobdellota archaeon
Lineage: Archaea; Nanobdellati; Nanobdellota
Description: tRNA-Lys
Source: RNAcentral